GGUCAAGCGACUAAGUGCAUGUGGUGGAUGCCUUGGCGACUACAGGCGAUGAAAGACGCGUAAGCCUGCGAUAAGCUUCGGGGAGCUGGCAAUAGAGCUUGAUCCGGAGAUCU
RNAcentral lists this ribosomal RNA (113 nucleotides) under uncultured beta proteobacterium. Its description in RNAcentral is "partial 23S ribosomal RNA". It matches the Rfam family "Bacterial large subunit ribosomal RNA", at positions 1 to 113 of the family's 2925-position model. The record is from RNAcentral. Lineage: Bacteria; Pseudomonadati; Pseudomonadota; Betaproteobacteria.